AAUUAGAUACAUUGAAAGCAUAAAGAUGUUUUCAGAAUUUGAAUUGUUUGAAUUACAGAAUCCAAAAAUAGUUUCUCAAAACAAAAUCUAGAUUGGCUACCAAAUGCAUAUUCACUAACAUAGUAAAUCUGAAAACAUAAAACAAAAUUCAAAUUGCCAUUACAAGAAAAAAUAUUUUUAGCGACAAAUUUUUAGUGGUACAAGUAAUUUUUGUUGGUAAAAGGCUACUUAUAUCAACACGUUAAAGGUAUGUCACAAAAUAUAUCAUUAUAGCAACACGUUAAAGAUAUAUCAUUAUUAGCAACACAUUUUUAAUCCACGUCACUAAAAGAUUUUGCAAUAUGACAAUUAACGCCACUAAAUAUUAAAUACUUUUAGUAACAUAUUAAAAUAUUACUAAAUAUAUGGCCAAAUUAUUCCCCUCCCCCAUCUAUUUUACAUUCCCCUUUUAUUUUAAUUUUUUAGUUUUUGCUUUCCCCCCUUAAUUUUACCUUUGCCUUUGAUGAAGCCCUCCACGCGAACCACUCGAACAAGAAGAUGACUCUGCACCCAUGCGAACGACGUUGAACGCUGGCCACUCCUCACGCGAACGGCGCUAAACGCCGACCAAUCCUCACGUGAAUGGCGUUGAACUCCGACCACUCCUCACGCGAACGCUAAACUCUGGUCACUCCUCACGCAAACGGCACUGAUCCCUGGCCACUCAAACGGGAUUUAUGUCUUGUUCGUGAUGAGCUAGUGCGAGAUUUCAUAAAGUUCAAUUUAGAUGAAAAUGCAAAGAAUUUGGUGUAUGAUUUAUGAUAUCAUGUGUGUGAUAUUAUUUACAAUUAUGUGAAAAGUUUAAAUCAUUGUUACCCUUUA
Benincasa hispida (wax gourd) is the source of this 861-nucleotide long non-coding RNA. RefSeq lists it as uncharacterized. Lineage: Eukaryota; Viridiplantae; Streptophyta; Magnoliopsida; Cucurbitales; Cucurbitaceae. The record is from RefSeq and is a predicted model, not a curated record.